This 670-nucleotide long non-coding RNA is filed under the name Dromaius novaehollandiae (emu). RNAcentral's name for it is "lncRNA (ENSDNVG00000002176.1)". Lineage: Eukaryota; Metazoa; Chordata; Aves; Casuariiformes; Dromaiidae. The record is from RNAcentral.
AGAAAGAUAAAAUAUUGCUGCUGUUAUUUAGGAAAGUUACUUAAACAAAUUUCAAUUUUUUCCAGUCCUUUUCCAUCAAGGUAGCAAAGAAGAGAUUCAGAUUCCACUAAUGGAAAGUUUCAGAACAAAAGCAAACAGAAGAUCUUGCCAUAGUUUUCUCAAAAAUGAGACAGAACAUUUUCAUUACUCCUGAGUGACAUUUACUCAGAACAUGCAAAAGGUGAGAUUGAGAAGGUGAUGAAAGAAGCAACACAGCUAGAGUCCUGUCUUCACGUUGUGAAGUAAAGAAGCAAUCUUCCAUCACAGAUGAACUUAUUCUUUUACAGAUGAUGGUGCUUUUUUACCCUUUGCAUUGCCUGCCUUUCUCCAAGACUAAUGCCACCUGCAGCAGCUUUACCAUGAUGACAUUUCUUAGAAGGUGUUAACACUGUCCAAUAUAUCUAGCUACAACCAGCUCUCUGUAUGUACUGCUGGUCAUGGCUUUUCCUGGUGUGUGACAAUCCAGGCUUUCUCAUUGGAGAACCGUCAAGAAUCUACUUCUCUGAAUGUUUAUGAACACAUGGUGGAACAGCUCCAGCAAGAGAUUGAGCAAGAGCUUCCCCGUGGAAAGAAAACAUGCCCUGGAUCAGGUUGCUCAGCCACGCCAUCUCAGCUCUUUAUGACUCACUGA